RNAcentral lists this non-coding RNA (317 nucleotides) under Musca domestica (house fly). RNAcentral's name for it is "Eukaryotic large subunit ribosomal RNA". It matches the Rfam family "Eukaryotic large subunit ribosomal RNA", at positions 958 to 1388 of the family's 3401-position model. Lineage: Eukaryota; Metazoa; Arthropoda; Insecta; Diptera; Muscidae. The record is from Rfam by way of RNAcentral.
CCUCCGAAGUUUCCCUCAGGAUAGCUGGUACAUUCAAAAUUAUGUAAAAUAAUCUUAUCUGGUAAAGCGAAUGAUUAGAGGCCUUAGGGUCGAAACGACCUUAACCUAUUCUCAAACGUUAAAUGGGUAAGAACCACACCUUUCUUGGUAUGAAGGAGUGGUUGUGAUAUAAUGUGCCCAGUGGGCCAUUUAUGGUAAGCAGAACUGGCGUUGUGGGAUGAACCAAACGAAGUGUUACGGUGCCCUGCCAAUACCACGUUGAAACAAUUCCGGUGAAUAAUAUCGCUAAAAUCGUCAAAGUACCGAAUAUCGGGAGG